RNAcentral lists this ribosomal RNA (643 nucleotides) under uncultured bacterium. RNAcentral's name for it is "bacterial SSU rRNA". It matches the Rfam family "Bacterial small subunit ribosomal RNA", at positions 232 to 885 of the family's 1533-position model. The record is from RNAcentral.
CGCGGCCUAUCAGCUUGUUGGUGGGGUAAUGGCCUACCAAGGCGACGACGGGUAGCCGGCCUGAGAGGGUGACCGGCCACACUGGGACUGAGACACGGCCCAGACUCCUACGGGAGGCAGCAGUGGGGAAUAUUGCACAAUGGGCGAAAGCCUGAUGCAGCGACGCCGCGUGAGGGAUGACGGCCUUCGGGUUGUAAACCUCUUUCAGCUCUGAAGAAGCGAAAGUGACGGUAGGAGCAGAAGAAGCACCGGCUAACUACGUGCCAGCAGCCGCGGUAAUACGUAGGGUGCGAGCGUUGUCCGGAAUUAUUGGGCGUAAAGAGCUUGUAGGCGGUCUGUCGCGUCUGCUGUGAAAACUCGGGGCUUAACCCCGAGCCUGCAGUGGGUACGGGCAGACUAGAGUGUGGUAGGGGAGACUGGAAUUCCUGGUGUAGCGGUGGAAUGCGCAGAUAUCAGGAGGAACACCGAUGGCGAAGGCAGGUCUCUGGGCCAUAACUGACGCUGAGAAGCGAAAGCGUGGGGAGCGAACAGGAUUAGAUACCCUGGUAGUCCACGCCGUAAACGUUGGGCGCUAGGUGUGGGGCUCAUUCCACGAGUUCCGUGCCGCAGCUAACGCAUUAAGCGCCCCGCCUGGGGAGUACGG